CCUACGGGAGGCUGCAGUGGGGGAUAUUGCACAAUGGAGGAAACUCUGAUGCAGCGACGCCGCGUGAGGGAAGACGGUCUUCGGAUUGUAAACCUCUGUCUUUGGGGAAGAAAAUGACGGUACCCAAAGAGGAAGCUCCGGCUAACUACGUGCCAGCAACCGCGGUAAUACGUAGGGCGCGAGCGUUUUCCGGAAUUACUGGGGGUAAAGGGAUUGUAGGCGGGUGAGAAAGUUGAAUGUUAAAUCUAAGGGUUUAACUGGUAGCUGCGUUCAAAACUUGUUUUCUUGAGUGAAGUAGAGGAAGGCGGAAUUCCGAGUGUAGCGGUGAAAUGCGUAGAUAUUAGGAGGAACACCAGUGGCGAAGGCAGCCUGCUGGGCUUUAACUGACGCUGAGGCUCGAAAGCGUGGGGAGCAAACAGGAUUAGAUACCCUAGUAGUC
This 439-nucleotide ribosomal RNA is filed under the name uncultured bacterium. RNAcentral's name for it is "partial 16S ribosomal RNA". It matches the Rfam family "Bacterial small subunit ribosomal RNA", at positions 338 to 795 of the family's 1533-position model. The record is from RNAcentral.